Molecule: long non-coding RNA, 1704 nt
Filed under: Helianthus annuus (common sunflower)
Lineage: Eukaryota; Viridiplantae; Streptophyta; Magnoliopsida; Asterales; Asteraceae
Description: hypothetical non coding rna
Source: RNAcentral
CUCUAUUUUUACCUCUUAUUUUUUUAGUAUCAAACAACAAUGAAACCAGUUGAUUUUUAUGAUAAAAAACUUAAUGGUAGAUUAAGUUUUAACAAAAGGAUAAGACAUAAGACGAUCUGUAUUCGGAUAUCAACUAACUGAUAGGGAGACUAGGGCUGUUCAAAAAGCUCGUGGCUCGGAGCUCGCUCGGAUUUAGCUUGGAAAAAACUCGCUCGAUAUGGCUCGGUUUAAAAGUGAGCCGAGCCGGCUCGGCUCGGUUAGAAAGUGAGCCUAGCUCGGCUCUUUACGAGCCGAGUUGGCUCGGUUUGGCUCACUUUGUAGCUCGGCUCGGUUUAGCUUGGAUUAUUUUACUUAUAAUAAAUUUUAAUUUUAUAUACAUUAUAGUAUAUUACAAAAAAACUGAUUACUAUUUACAUGUAUAUACGUUUGUAAUUUGAUAUCUAUAGCAUAUUUGAAGGUUGAUUACCAUACUAAUGAACUAAUAUUGUAUUUCAUUGAAAUUAACACUUAUUUUGCGUUCUUGAACUUGAUUUUGGUUUGUAAUGUAUUUGGUUGAAUUUAUUUUGAAUAUAUUUUUUAAAGUAUUGAAUAAUAUUUUAGGCUGCUGAAUUUUAAAAGGUAUAUAUUAAUGUUUUUUAUAAAAUCGAGCCAAAUUAAGCCGAGCCGAGCCAGCUCGAUUUAAAACCAAGCCGAGCCCUAGCUUAGAUUUUCAGCUCGGUUUCAAAAACGAGCCGAGCCGAGCCAGAUCGGUUUAUAAUCGAGCCGAGCUCGAGCUUGGCCUGGCUCGGCUUGGCUUGGCUCAUGAACAGCCCUAAGGGAGACUAGUCUAAGACUAUAUGAACGCAUGAAAACGUUGUGAAAGUUGCGUUUUUAUAUAAAAGAAAUAAACAAGAAAUAAUCAAAAUCAAUACAAAACCCUCCAACCAAUGAAGAGCCGCUACCUCCUUUACCUUAAGCCCCUAUGCCAGUGAAGAAUCCCCACCCUCCCCACAACGCCAACCGUGGGUGGUGUUUCCGGCGCUGUGUGGGUUCUUUACAUAUUUCCCCCUCCUAAACCAUGCGUAGUCGUUGGUGUGAAUAAUGCCCCACCCUAGGACGUUUUGCGCCAUGUGGCAGCCCAGUCAUCAAUGGGGCAUUAUUGGACGUUUUUACAAAAUGGGUGUUGUGGGGAUUGGAGCAUUAUGUUAAAUGAGAUGUAAAAUAAUUAAAUAAAACAAAAACCCUCAAAAAAAUCUUAUUGGAUAACAAAAAUGGAGACGGAAGGUGAUUGGACAAGGAGAAGGGGGCAAGACGUGUUUCAAAAAACGCCAAGGGGGCUUUUUUCGCGAAUAAUGCCCAAUAACGCCGGGGUGUAAUGGUUUGGGGGCGUGAUCUGCGUUUUUUUUUUAUUUUUUAUAAAAAAACGCGCCAUUACGGGCGGUCUAAGAGGGCUUAUUACAUAUUUUCCUAAACAAAAAAUUCAAUUUCAUAUUUCUCUUCUCUAACCCAUAUAUAUUACAUAUUUUCCUUUGCUAACCCUUAUAUAUUACAUAUUUCCUCUUUUCAUUAAAAAUACUAUCAAGGAAUUAUUAUUUUACACUUAACUUAAUGAACUUAUAAAAUGAAUAGUUACAUAUUUCUUCAUCCCAAUAUCAUGAAUUACAUAUUUCCCCGUGUAUAUCUCCCUAUUUCUUUCACUUGCUACCAUUCUCAAACAAUACCAUA